UACGAAGGGGGCUAGCGUUGUUCGGAAUCACUGGGCGUAAAGCGCACGCAGGCGGAUUGAUAAGUCAGGGGUGAAAUCCCGGAGCUCAACUUCGGAAUUGCCUUUGAUACUGUCUAUCUUCGAGUUCGGGAGAGGUUGGCGGAAUUCCUAGUGUAGAGGUGAAAUUCGUAGAUAUUAGGAAGAACACCAGUGGCGAAGGCGGCCAACUGACCCGAUACUGACGCUCAUGUGCGAAAGCGUGGGGAGCAAACAGG
This 254-nucleotide ribosomal RNA is filed under the name uncultured bacterium. RNAcentral describes it as "partial 16S ribosomal RNA". It matches the Rfam family "Bacterial small subunit ribosomal RNA", at positions 524 to 776 of the family's 1533-position model. The record is from RNAcentral.